RNAcentral lists this long non-coding RNA (285 nucleotides) under Homo sapiens (human). Its description in RNAcentral is "PREDICTED lncRNA (TCONS_00255936)". Lineage: Eukaryota; Metazoa; Chordata; Mammalia; Primates; Hominidae. The record is from RNAcentral.
GCGGGCGCCCCUGCCCCAGCCUCGCUGCCGCCUUGCAGUUUGAUCUCAGACUGCUGUGCUAGCAAUCAGCGAGACUCCAUGGGCGUAGGACCCUCUGAGCCAGAGGCUGAGUAGUCUCAAGAUCUGAAGACAGCAGAAACCUGGGAAAGUUAAUGAUAUACGUUGUUAUACUCCAAGUGUGAGUCUGAAGACAAGGGAAGACCAACGUCCAAGCUUGAAGACAGUCAGAUAGAAUCAUUCUGCAGCCUGGCUAAGGAUGAAGAUAACUGAUAAACUAUUAUAUAC